CAACAUGGUCAGUGAGGAGGAGAGCACCCCACUGAGGGUGUGGACAUGUGUAAAGACAGCAAAGGGCUGGUGUUACCACCCCAGCUCUCUGGAGGUUGGAGCAGAAGGAAUGCUGAAGAGAAAAGAAGACAGAAGGAGGAGCGCAGAAGCUAAGAGCCGGAAUGAACCCAGGAAUUUAGUGGAAGAGCAAGAAUGGCUAAGGCAAGGUAGCUUGGUUGUUAAAGGCAAUUGCUGCCAGACCUGACGAUUGAACUCAGUCACCAGAACACUCGUGGAGUGCUCUGACCUCUGCACGGGGGCUGCCGUGUGUGUGCCCGCCCUCCACACUGCCCCGUCCAACCUUCUCAUAAAAGUAGUACAUGUCAAAAAAUAAAAAUAAAAUUAAAAAGCAAGUGGUAAGGACAAGGAGUUAGCUCAGUAGUAGGCUACUGGCCCAGCAUGAACAGAACCCUGAAUUUAAUCCAUAUUAUUGAAAAAAAAAUUAAAAAAAUAAA
RNAcentral lists this long non-coding RNA (494 nucleotides) under Rattus norvegicus (Norway rat). Its description in RNAcentral is "long non-coding RNA NONRATT002818". The record is from RNAcentral. Lineage: Eukaryota; Metazoa; Chordata; Mammalia; Rodentia; Muridae.